GCUAGGACGAACGCUGGCGGCGUGCCUAACACAUGCAAGUCGAGCGAGGAGAUUCCUUCGGGAUGAUCCUAGCGGCGGACGGGUGAGUAACACGUGGGCAACCUGCCUCAUAGAGAGGAAUAGCCUUCCGAAAGGGAGAUUAAUACCUCAUAACAUUGCAGUUUCGCAUGGAACAGCAAUUAAAGGAGUAAUCCGCUAUGAGAUGGGCCCGCGGCGCAUUAGCUAGUUGGUGAGGUAACGGCUCACCAAGGCGACGAUGCGUAGCCGACCUGAGAGGGUGAUCGGCCACAUUGGGACUGAGACACGGCCCAGACUCCUACGGGAGGCAGCAGUGGGGAAUAUUGCACAAUGGGGGAAACCCUGAUGCCAGCAACGCCGCGUGAGUGAUGACGGCCUUCGGGUUGUAAAGCUCUGUCUUCAGGGACGAUAAUGACGGUACCUGAGGAGGAAGCCACGGCUAACUACGUGCCAGCCGCCGC
RNAcentral lists this ribosomal RNA (479 nucleotides) under uncultured bacterium. RNAcentral's name for it is "bacterial SSU rRNA". It matches the Rfam family "Bacterial small subunit ribosomal RNA", at positions 26 to 518 of the family's 1533-position model. The record is from RNAcentral.